Long non-coding RNA from Numida meleagris (helmeted guineafowl), 3428 nucleotides. RefSeq lists it as uncharacterized. The record is from RefSeq and is a predicted model, not a curated record. Lineage: Eukaryota; Metazoa; Chordata; Aves; Galliformes; Numididae. The transcript has 3 exons.
UUCCUAUGUUCCAGUUUCUGCCUGUUGCUCCUUAUUGUAUUGCUGCACACCACUGAAAAGAGCCUGAUCUCAUCCAUUUGGCUCUCGCACUUCAGAUAUUUAUAAACAGUGAUGAGAUCCCCACUCAGUCUUCUCUCCUCCAGGCUGAACAGCCCCAGGUCUCUAAGCCUUUCCUCACAAGGGAGAUGUUGCAGGCCCCUCAUCAUCUUCAUGGCCAGCAGAGGCUGGACUCUCUCUAGUUCUGUCUUUCUUGAACUGAGCAGCCCAAAACAGGACAGAGUACUCCAGAUGUGACCCCACCAGAGAGGUCCCCCAAGCAGGAGCACUGUCAGUAUUCCAAGCCCAGUACUUUUCUAAAACAGACCUGAAACUCUCACAUCAGUAGAUGAAAUAUUUGAAUUGUGUCAUGCACUGCCUGUGUUUGUGCAUGUGAAAGAGGGUAUCCAGAAACAGGUGUUUAAACAAACAUUUUCACAUUGCAGGCUUUCUUGCUACCUGAAAGUUUCAUUUUAAAAAGUGAAAAAUGUCAGAUGCUAGAGACAAAAUUGUUCUAAUACAUUUGUGUGAGUGCAGUGUCAGCAAAGGCAGUUUGCUGUAGGAUGCCCAGCAGCUCCUUCACUCUCAGCCAUUGACUACUGAUUUGUCUCAUGGGCCAGCUUGGAACCAUUUCUUACCUGUGCUUAAUUGCUCUUCAUCAGCUGUUCUGGCCACUUGACCAAGACGUUAGAAAGCUGAGGAAAGAUGGUCAGAUUUUAAGAAGUAGCUGUGACCCAUGGAUAAAUCUGCCAAGGUAUUUCUCUCAAAGUGCAGUACAGCUAGCCAGCCAUGUAAGUCAUCCGCAUCUGUAAAUUCUUGGGCCUCUUUCUGUCUCUCCUGCACCAGUCAUUUUCCUGGUAUUUUAGAUCUGAGUGAUAAACCACAUCCCAACUCAAACACAUCAAAGGACAAGGCUUUCUGAACUAAUCAAAAAACAACCAAAAGAGAGCAAUCCUCUGCAGUGCCACUGCAAGUGACACGAGAACCUAACCUGCUGCGGUAGGGUGGUGGUGGAUGCAGCACAGUGGAAGCUAAGAGCUGUUCCAAGCGAAUAUGUUGCACAGGGCUACAUGGAGUGCUACAAAGCGGCAAAAUGCAAGUUGGCCACUAGCUGUGAAGUCAUACAGUGACUUCCAUAUUGGAAUAUAUAUUCUGUACUAUUGAAUCAGUAUGUAGCAGUGCACAUAUCAAUCAACUGAUACAGAUAUAUGUAUUUAUGUGGAUUUGGGGUACUUUUUGGAAUAAAUCUGCACAAGUUGAUGAUUUGACAUUACAUUCCAAGUCAUCAGGGAGCAGAAUACAAAAACAGUAAGGCUGAGUAAGAAAAACAAAGGCAGUCCAAAGUUUUCACUACAUAGAUACAGAGAUCACUGCAUUAGUGACACCAGCAUAUCUAAAAGUCAGAUUUUUCAAGUGCUGAUACAUCAAGUCAGGCACUUGUAUGUAAACAUACAAACAGUAAGGAUUUUUUUUUCAGCAGCUCCCUUUGAAAGUUGUCUGUUUAUAUGUAUGUGUAUUUAGAAAUCUGCAAGCAUUACAGUGAUUUGGCAUUCUUGCUGAGUUUUAGCACCACCUCCAAUCAGCCCCACCUUUUUCAGCUUGGACUAGUGUGCCAGCUCAGUGAGGCACUCCAUUAUUUGUGAUGGAGACAGCAUGUAUGUGAUACACCCAGAGGCCCAAAUGAGUCAUUGUUACCUGGACAUGUUGAAAAAUGUGCUUAAGCAGCAAAUGGAUUCUGCUAGUCCUUCUUGCACAAUUAGCCCCACUGGAAUUCAGAGGAGAGGAUAAAACUGAACUGAUACUGAGAACAGCUCAGUGCUCCCAUGUGAGCUAUUUUCACACAUGGGCAGUAGAAAUAAGUAAACAGAGGUAUUUUUAUUUUGCUGAAACAAAGUAAAGUUUUGUAGGUGCUACCCUGGGUGGAAUUGGUGGAACAAGUUAUCUUGGAACAAUAACAAGUGACACGGGUAUUGCUUAAAAUUCUACUUACUGUGGGAAAAUGUCAGUAUCAUAACUGGAAGAUACUGCUUCAACCUUGCUUCACUGCUCCUAGGAAGGGCCAGGCCAGUCCUGACUUACCUGAAGCCACAUCCUAAGUUCCUUGACUUUCUUAUACUUCAAAGUGUUACUGAGACCAAAUGUCCAGUAAACUCUGCAAGCCUUGGUGUCUUUUUCUUCCCAAGGAAAACUCCAUGCAGAAGAGAAUGAAAUGCAGUAAUUUGGAGCUUCUUGCUCAUGCCUCUUAGCAGAAGGUGGAGUUCUGUUUCUUAACACACGGAUUCAUGAAAACUGUCUGGGUCCUAGGAGACUGUCUUUAAACAAGUCAGUCUAAAGUAGAUGCAAUAUUCCCUCCUGGCUUCUUAAACCAAGAGCUACGGUCUGUUCUACAGCUCUUUAUCCUAACUCACCUCCUCUGGAACUGCAUGUAUUAGCAGAAUGCAACUCCAUGGAUGUGAAGAUGAUACAGUUAUGUCUGAACAUCAGUUUAGUAAGCAGAGGGAAGCUCCUUUAUACAUAAUCCUAAGGCUAGGCAUCAUCUCUCUGUCUGUCUAGGCUUUGUAGAAGAUUAUUUUCUAACCCUAAAUGAUGUACCCAAAAACUGUGUUUCAGGCUUAGGACACUGGGUACUAAGUUUUUAAUUAUUCAUGCCAGUACUUGAGGUGACUGUCUCUGUCUAUACGAGGGAGAUAACUAUAUUUUACUUCAUAAACUGAAUUCCUAGGGCAGGCAGAAAUUCCUCUCUAUGCCUUGUUAAUUAACUUAUAACAGCAGCUGCCAUGCCCUCCUACUUCACAUGCCAUCUUGUGAGCUUAUUUAAUACCAUCCUCUCUUUGAUACCUUCCUUGCAUGGAGAAGAACCAAGUAAAUUUGAAGUAGGUGAAACACACUGAUAACUGAUGGUAGCUGACAUUCAAAGCAGAAAUGUGAAUAUGACUUGGAAAUUGAUUUUUGUUAUUGUUGCUUAUGAAAACUAGGUCUAGAAUUCCAAACAAGGUUCUAAAUUGUCACAAUAAGACAGAAUGUGACUUCCGUGUUCCUACCUCCUACAGUUCUGCGUAGCAAAGACAAGUUUGCACGUGCAAGCUACUUAUCUGGCUACGUAUCUUUGUGACAUGAUUGCUGUGCAUCAUUACUCCUGUGCAAUGACUGCCUGGGAAGCGAGAACUUAGCCUGAGUGGCAGCACUCAUAAAGUUUGUGUUUCUGAGGAAAUGAAGGGUCCUACCAUGACUGACUGUACAUUUUAUAUUUUCUGCACAACUCCUGAGUUUGUGUUGCUGGAAGCACAGAAACCUAACAGUGAUAGUACAAGGGAAUUUUGUUACUAUAAAGUACGCAUUACAAGUGAAGGAAAAAAGAGGCAGCCUCUCCCUGCCACACACAUCCACAACUC